Pan troglodytes (chimpanzee) is the source of this 1808-nucleotide long non-coding RNA. The record is from Ensembl. Lineage: Eukaryota; Metazoa; Chordata; Mammalia; Primates; Hominidae.
UUCUUUUGCAUCUCUAGGCCAAGACCAAGGAGAAUGAGGAGGAGCUGGAGCAGCACGCUCAGUUCCUGUUGGUGAACUUCAGCCACAUCCACAAGAGGAUAAGGAGGGUGGCAGACGAGUAUCUAUCUGGUCUGGUGGAUAAGUAAGCUCAUUUUCCUGCUAAUGGGACUGUGCUAAAGACCAUGCUGGACAUCCUGCAGACCCUGUCUCUGUCACUGAGCGCUGUGAGUAUCCCCAGGAGACCUAGGGCCCAAACACCACUUGCUCUACCACCACCCCGCUGGCCCUGUCCGCCCUGUGUUGUGGCAUGCUUCUCUGACAAUAAGCCUGAACAUAAUUAAUGCUACAGGUGUCGAGUUGGGGGUGAGGGGGCCCAAAUCCACCUGGUGUUUUGCAGUAAGUUGCAUCAAGUAUGGAGGCCUGUCACAGACAGACAGGUGGUGGGUAGGGGUGGCCCAUGUGGUUGCUAGUGGCAACUUGGGGAAGGCAGUUUGGAAGAGGGAGUCUUGCUGUGCUUGCAGGAUAUUCACAAGGAUCAGCCUUACUAUGACAUCCCCGACGCCCCCUACCGGAUCACGGUUCCUGACACGUACGAAGCCCGUGAGAGCAUUGUGAAGGACUUCGCUGCACGCUGUGCGAUGAUCCUGCAGGAGGCCAUGAAGUGGGCGCCUACCGUCACCAAGUCCCACCUGCAGGAAUAUCUGAACAAACAUCAGAACUGGGUAUCGGGACUGUCCCAGCAAACGGGGCUGGCCAUGGCCACUGAGAGCAUCCUUCACUUUGCUGGCUACAACAAGCAGAACACAACUCUCGGGGCAACUCAGCUGACCGAGCGCCCGGCCUGUGUGAAGAAGGACUACUCCAACUUCAUGGCAUCCCUGAAUUUGCGCAACCGCUACGCAGGCGAGGUGUAUGGAAUGAUUCGGUUCUCAGGCACCACAGGCCAGAUGUCUGACCUGAACAAAAUGAUGGUCCAGGAUCUACAUUCAGCUUUAGACCGCAGUCAUCCUCAGCACUACACGCAGGCCAUGUUCAAGCUGACCACAAUGCUCAUUAGCAGUAAAGGUAACUCACUGAAGCACUGUGGAAUUCUGGGCUCAUUUCUAAAUGAAUGCUGGCCUUGAUGACCCAUAGCCAGGUGGAGUACUGGCCGGAGAAAGAGCAGGAGCUCCCCCAGUAGAGGAGUAUCUCUCAUGAGUGGAAAGUCAAUAAAAGGCCAUCACUGGCCCCAGCUGGUCAACUCUUGUUGGCCCAGAUUACAGGCACCUGCCACCAUGCCCAGCUAAUUUUUGUAUUUUUAGUAGAGACAGGGUUUUAGCAUUUUUGGCCAGGAUGGUCUUGAACUCCUGACCUCAAGUGAUCCACCCACCUUGGCCUCCCAAAGUGCUGGGAUUAUAGGUGUGAGUCACUGGGCCUGGACAUUUUUCUCCAUUUCUAAGAACAGUGGGUUUCUCCUGAAAGGAGAGAAGGAAAGGGAACUGGAAAUAAUAUAUCCUGGGGCCGGGUGCGGUGGCUCACACCUGUAAUCCCAGCACUUUGGGAGGCCGAGGUGGGCAGAUCACGAGGUCAGAAGAUCGAGACCAUCCUGGCUAACACGGUGAAACCCCAUCUCUACUAAAAAUACAAAAAAUUAGCCGGGCGUGGUGGCGGAAGCCUGUAGUCCCACCUACUCGGGAGGCUGAGGCAGGAGAAUGGCGUGAACCCGGGAGGCGGAGCUUGCAGUGAGCGGAGAUCACGCCACAGCACUCCAGCCUGGGUAACACAGCAAGACUCCGUCUCAAAAAUAUAUAUAUAUAUAGAUAUAUAUA